AGGAUGUUUAUAUAGGAGAAAAUCGCUGAAGAUAUGUUCUCCCGAAGACAAGAAACAGACUGGUCAGAACAAAGGCAUUACAGAUGGGAUAAUGAAACUGAAAACGAGACACAUACAGAAUCCAAAUAUGAAUCGUGUCAUAUAGGUUCUUCCUCAGAAAGAACAAUUCUCGGUUUGCCCCCAAGAGGUCCUCUGAAGAUUGAGGAUGUCAAGAAUGCUUUCCGCUUAUCAGCAUUAAAGUGGCAUCCUGAUAAACAUCAAGGCCCUUCACAGGCAGCAGCAGAAGAGAAAUUCAAAACUUGUGUCACUGCAUACAAGUCAUUGUGCAACGCGUUCUCCCCAGCUUAACCUUUAUCUGACGUAUCUAUGGCUUCUUUUCUUGGGAGUUUCAG
This 392-nucleotide unclassified non-coding RNA is filed under the name Hevea brasiliensis (rubber tree). The record is from RNAcentral. Lineage: Eukaryota; Viridiplantae; Streptophyta; Magnoliopsida; Malpighiales; Euphorbiaceae.